UACGGAGGAUGCAAGCGUUAUCCGGAAUGAUUGGGCGUAAAGCGUCCGCAGGUGGCACUUCAAGUCUGAUGUUAAAUACUAGGGCUUAACUCUGGAGCGGCAGUGGAAACUGAUGAGCUAGAGUUCAGUAGGGGUAGAGGGAAUUCCUAGUGUAGCGGUGAAAUGCGUAGAGAUUGGGAAGAACACCAGUGGCGAAAGCGCUCUGCUAGGCCGAAACUGACACUCAUGGACGAAAGCUAGGGGAGCGAAUGGG
RNAcentral lists this ribosomal RNA (253 nucleotides) under uncultured bacterium. Its description in RNAcentral is "partial 16S ribosomal RNA". It matches the Rfam family "Bacterial small subunit ribosomal RNA", at positions 524 to 776 of the family's 1533-position model. The record is from RNAcentral.